Non-coding RNA from Caenorhabditis elegans, 150 nucleotides. NCBI's taxonomy places the organism in Eukaryota, Metazoa, Nematoda, Chromadorea, Rhabditida, Rhabditidae. The record is from Ensembl.
GAACACUGCGCAUGUUUAUAAUACAAAUAUAACCAGAAAAGAGUAAAAGGUAUUAAUCAAAUAAGUUUUUUUUUUCGGAAAAUUGUUCAACUACUCACGAUUUUUAGACUACGAUCAUGAAGUUGGGUAUUUUUACCAGAAUUUUUGAAU